CGAACGGACGAGAAGCUUGCUUCUCUGAUGUUAGCGGCGGACGGGUGAGUAACACGUGGAUAACCUACCUAUAAGACUGGGAUAACUUCGGGAAACCGGAGCUAAUACCGGAUAAUAUUUUGAACCGCAUGGUUCAAAAGUGAAAGACGGUCUUGCUGUCACUUAUAGAUGGAUCCGCGCUGCAUUAGCUAGUUGGUAAGGUAACGGCUUACCAAGGCAACGAUGCAUAGCCGACCUGAGAGGGUGAUCGGCCACACUGGAACUGAGACACGGUCCAGACUCCUACGGGAGGCAGCAGUAGGGAAUCUUCCGCAAUGGGCGAAAGCCUGACGGAGCAACGCCGCGUGAGUGAUAAAGGUCUUCGGAUCGUAAAACUCUGUUAUUAGGGAAGAACAUAUGUGUAAGUAACUGUGCACAUCUUGACGGUACCUAAUCAGAAAGCCACGGCUAACUACGUGCCAGCAGCCGCGGUAAUACGUAGGUGGCAAGCGUUAUCCGGAAUUAUUGGGCGUAAAGCGCGCGUAGGCGGUUUUUUAAGUCUGAUGUGAAAGCCCACGGCUCAACCGUGGAGGGUCAUUGGAAACUGGAAAACUUGAGUGCAGAAGAGGAAAGUGGAAUUCCAUGUGUAGCGGUGAAAUGCGUAGAUAUAUGGAGGAACACCAGUGGCGAAGGCGGCUCUCUGGU
RNAcentral lists this ribosomal RNA (684 nucleotides) under uncultured Bacilli bacterium. RNAcentral describes it as "bacterial SSU rRNA". It matches the Rfam family "Bacterial small subunit ribosomal RNA", at positions 63 to 733 of the family's 1533-position model. Lineage: Bacteria; Bacillati; Bacillota; Bacilli. The record is from RNAcentral.